This 85-nucleotide transfer RNA is filed under the name Candidatus Woesebacteria bacterium RBG_16_40_11. RNAcentral's name for it is "tRNA-Leu". It matches the Rfam family "tRNA". From Rfam's summary of the family: Transfer RNA (tRNA) molecules are approximately 80 nucleotides in length. RNAcentral also lists the same sequence under 3 other names. Lineage: Bacteria; Candidatus Woeseibacteriota. The record is from RNAcentral.
GCCGAGGUGGCGGAAUGGCAGACGCGCAGGUCUCAAAAACCUGUGAGGCUCACACCUCGUGGAGGUUCGACUCCUCUCCUCGGCA